This is a long non-coding RNA of Ictalurus punctatus (channel catfish), 478 nucleotides long. NCBI's taxonomy places the organism in Eukaryota, Metazoa, Chordata, Actinopteri, Siluriformes, Ictaluridae. The record is from Ensembl.
UGGUUGUCUGAAAGAGAGGGAAUGUGAGCGAUGAGCACUCAGGAAAAGGGUGCAGCAGGAGUUGCAGUUUAAGUAUCAGGAUGAAGAGAAGUUGUGUGUAUGGGUGGCUGUGCGGAAGACGGGGCUAGUGAGGGAUGUGCAUUCAGGGAAAAGGUGCAGGUGAAGUCUAAGGAUGUAGAGAUGUAGUAUGUGUCGACGAGGGGGCAGGUGAGGGAUGUGUACUAAGGCAAAGGUUGGAGGUGAAAUCUCAGGAUGAACAGAAGUUGAUUGUGUGUUGAAGAGGGUUCAGGUGAGGGAGGUGAACUCAGAAUGGGCUCAGCGGAAGCCUCAAGAUGAAGACAAGUUGAUUGUGUGGAUGAGGGGGCUGGUGAGGGAUGUGCACUAAGGGAAGGGGUGCAGGUCAAGUCUCAGGAUGAUGAGAAGAUGGGUGUCAGGGUGAGUGCAUGGAAGGGGGGCUGGUGAGGGAUGUUCACUCAGG